RNAcentral lists this ribosomal RNA (401 nucleotides) under uncultured bacterium. RNAcentral describes it as "bacterial SSU rRNA". It matches the Rfam family "Bacterial small subunit ribosomal RNA", at positions 29 to 428 of the family's 1533-position model. The record is from RNAcentral.
AGCGAACGUUUGCGGCGGGCUUAACACAUGCAAGUCGAACGGGCUGUUCCUUCGGGGGCAGUCAGUGGCGCACGGGUGCGUAACACGUAGGUAAUCAACCCUCUGGUUGGGGAUAACACUUCGAAAGGAGUGCUAAUACCCGGUAUGGCGCAGCGGUCUUCGGAUCGCGGCGAGAAAGACCCGCAAGGGUUGCCAGAGGACGAGUUUGCGGCCCAUCAGCUAGUUGGCGAGGUAACGGCUCACCAAGGCGAAGACGGGUAGCUGGUCUGAGAGGAUGAUCAGCCACACUGGAACUGAGACACGGUCCAGACUCCUACGGGAGGCAGCAGUGGGGAAUAUUGCGCAACGGGCGAAAGCCUGACACAGCCACGCCGCGUGAGCGAUGAAGGCCUCGGUCGUAA